UUAGAGGAAGUAAAAGUCGUAACAAGGUUUCCGUAGGUGAACCUGCGGAAGGAUCAUUAUUGAAUUCCUUCAGAGAGGAGUUGUUGCUGGCCUUUACGGGCAUGUGCANGCUCUGAUCGACCUUUCAAACCCCUGUGCACAUUUUGUAGGAGAGGGUAACACCUCUUCUAUGUUUUUAUACAUACCCCUUUAAAGUCUAUGAACGUUUUAUAUGAAUAAAAAUUAAAUAUAACUUUCAACAACGGAUCUCUUGGCUCUCGCAUCGAUGAAGAACGCAGCGAAAUGCGAUAAGUAAUGUGAAUUGCAGAAUUCAGUGAAUCAUCGAAUCUUUGAACGCACCUUGCGCUCCUUGGUAUUCCGAGGAGCAUGCCUGUUUGAGUGUCAUUAAAUUCUCAACCCUUCAACUUUAUUGAUGGAGUGGCUUGGACUUGGAGUGUGCUGGUGAUAACAUCGGCUCCUCUUUAAAUGCAUUAGCAGCAACCUUUCAAUGUGCAAUCGGUGUGAUAAUUAUCUACGCCUUAAAAAGCCUUUGAAGUCUGCUUAUAAUCGUCCUUCUGGACAACUUAAUGAUUAUCUUGACCUCAAAUCAGGUAGGACUACCCGCUGAACUUAAGCAUAUCAAUAA
RNAcentral lists this ribosomal RNA (625 nucleotides) under Pseudoathelia septentrionalis. RNAcentral's name for it is "eukaryotic LSU rRNA". The stretch from base 231 to 384 matches the Rfam family "5.8S ribosomal RNA". Lineage: Eukaryota; Fungi; Basidiomycota; Agaricomycetes; Amylocorticiales. The record is from RNAcentral.